Molecule: long non-coding RNA, 668 nt
Filed under: Homo sapiens (human)
Lineage: Eukaryota; Metazoa; Chordata; Mammalia; Primates; Hominidae
Description: HSALNT0298498
Source: RNAcentral
AUCUUGGCUUACUGCAAGCUCAGCCUCCUGGGUUCACGCCAUUCUCCUGCCUCAGCCUCCCGAGUAGCUGGGACUACAGGCACCCGCCACCAUGCCCAGCUAAUUUUUUGUAUUUUUAGUAGAGACGGGGUUUCACCGUAUUAGCCAGGAUGGUCUCAAUCUCCUGACCUCAUGAUCUGCCCACCUCGCCCUCCCAAAGUGCUGAGAUUACAGGCAUGAGCCACUGCACCAGGCCAUUCUGAGAGGGUACUAAUCUCAUUCAUGGGGGCUGCACCUUCAUGACCUAAUUACCUCCCAAAAGCCCCACCUCCAAAAUCAUCACAAUGGGAUUAGGGUUUCAACAUAUGAAUUUGUGGGGGAACAUAUUCAGUCUGCUGCACUGGCUGAGUGUCCUCAUAACAUGGCAGAUGGCUUCCUUCAGAAUGAAUGAUCCAAGAGAAAAGUAGUGAGAAAGAUCAAGACAGAAGCCAAAGUAUCUUUUAUAACAAUCUCUGGAGUGGCAUAUCAUUAAUUCUGCCAUAUUCUCUUGGUUACAUAAAUCACCCUGGUACAGUGUGAGAAGGAACUACACAAGCAACCCCGAGAGCACAUCACAGUAUGGAGAAAACAUAAGAUCAAAGAAGCAUGCAACACUGAGCUAUCACACGGAGAACACCUGUCUGGGAAGC